Phacochoerus africanus (Common warthog) is the source of this 799-nucleotide long non-coding RNA. RefSeq lists it as uncharacterized. NCBI's taxonomy places the organism in Eukaryota, Metazoa, Chordata, Mammalia, Artiodactyla, Suidae. The transcript is spliced from 3 exons. The record is from RefSeq and is a predicted model, not a curated record.
UUUCAUGUCUUUCUUAUUUAAAAAGGCCUUCAUAAAUAGUCGUAAACAGGGAAAGAAUUCAUUAACAACGCUUGUCAAGAAAGGGUCACACUAAACAUUGUACAACUUAUUUAAAACAUGGUAUAAAAUUAAAUGUACCAUUAUCUACUCACCGUAGACCUAAAUGCUGUUUAAAGAGGCCAAAUGGUAUCAAGCUGCUUGAGUGGCACGUUAAAACUACGCAAAACCAAAUCUUGUUUAAAAACUGGUUUUAAAAUAACUACUGAUUUUCUGAAAACGAUGUGAACAGUUUUCAUCUUGUUGAGCGUUUUUUCACUAGUGCAACUUUGGAUUUUUUAUGAGACUUUUGGUGCCUUAAUGAACACCUCGCUCCAUGCUGGAAAAGCACUAAGCAAAAGCUUUUAAAGACAUUCUGACUUGACUAAUUGAGGUCGCACUCGCCAAGGCUGAGGAUGUGUAACCCUUAAACGGUCUUCAUUUUCAAAGGACGUGUCGGCCGGCCGCCUGGGAAAGUCACGGGAGCCGGUGGUGCCCGGGGAGCAGACAGAGGAACUUUCCUUCCAAUUACGGACUGCUUAAGAAUGGUCAGCUCACCAUCGUGCCUCGUCAGGGAACGAAUUCGCUUGGGAACUUGAAAAUCAUCCUUUUUAAGGAAUUUUGUUUUACAAAAUGUUUUAUAAAACGGUAUGCUUUUUAAUUUGGAAAGCCUGUUAAAAAUAGGGGGAAAGAAAAUCUUGCUGUCUCCUGGUAACAGAAAACAGAUGAUUUGUGUAUUAAUAAUAAAGGCUGCCCAUUUCAA